This 699-nucleotide ribosomal RNA is filed under the name Selenomonas sp. B-8. Its description in RNAcentral is "bacterial SSU rRNA". It matches the Rfam family "Bacterial small subunit ribosomal RNA", at positions 83 to 758 of the family's 1533-position model. Lineage: Bacteria; Bacillati; Bacillota; Negativicutes; Selenomonadales; Selenomonadaceae. The record is from RNAcentral.
UUAUUGAGUCGAGUGGCAAACGGGUGAGUAACGCGUAGACAACCUGCCGCAAAGAUGGGGACAACAGUCCGAAAGGACUGCUAAUACCGAAUGUUGUAUCUCCUCCGCAUGGAAGAGAUAUUAAAGAUGGCCUCUACUUGUAAGCUAUCGCUUUGCGAUGGGUCUGCGUCUGAUUAGCUAGUUGGUGGGGCAACGGCCUACCAAGGCGACGAUCAGUAGCCGGUCUGAGAGGAUGAACGGCCACAUUGGAACUGAGACACGGUCCAGACUCCUACGGGAGGCAGCAGUGGGGAAUCUUCCGCAAUGGGCGAAAGCCUGACGGAGCAACGCCGCGUGAGUGAAGAAGGUCUUCGGAUCGUAAAGCUCUGUUGUCGGGGACGAAUGUUGAGGCCUAGAAUAUAGGUUUCAAAUGACGGUACCUGACGAGGAAGCCACGGCUAACUACGUGCCAGCAGCCGCGGUAAUACGUAGGUGGCGAGCGUUGUCCGGAAUUAUUGGGCGUAAAGGGAGCGCAGGCGGGAAGGUAAGUCUAUCUUAAAAGUGCGGGGCUCAACCCCGUGAGGGGAUAGAAACUAUCAUUCUUGAGUGCAGGAGAGGAAAGCGGAAUUCCUAGUGUAGCGGUGAAAUGCGUAGAUAUUAGGAGGAACACCAGUGGCGAAAGGCGGCUUUCUGGACUGUAACUGACGCUGAGGCUCGAAA